GCGAGGGUAGUCUAGUGGUUAUGAUGUCUGCUUUACAUUACUCAAGAAUGUAAUAGCGCAGAAGGUCGGGAGUUCGAUCCUCCCCUCUCGUA
This is a non-coding RNA of Massariosphaeria phaeospora, 92 nucleotides long. NCBI's taxonomy places the organism in Eukaryota, Fungi, Ascomycota, Dothideomycetes, Pleosporales. The record is from the annotation of a GenBank genome assembly.